UCACCUCAGGGUUCGAAAUUAACUUUAGUCCGUUAGUCUCAGACUAAUACAUUUUCAUUCGGACUAAUAAAAAUUGUAGCUAAUUAGUCCGAUUGGACUAAUAAAGUUUUCUUGGGAGAAAAAAGAAUUUACCGAUGUUCAAAUUUUCGACAACUUUCACUGGAAAACCCCAUAUUUAUUUUUAGCUUUCUAGCUUCUUGGCGGGAAGUUAGGUAAUUCUGAGUCAAUUCGGCGCUUAAUUUUAGGACUCAUUGGUAUGAAAUUAAACAUUUUAGUGAUCAUGAUUUAGUAUGACACAUAAAAAAAGAUGUCGGAUGUUUAGAUGAUGUAAUCAUCUAUAAAGAAAAACGAAUGAGAUCGGGAAUACGAUCGUAGUUCCUGAUUGUGCGAUUUCAACGAAUUCUUGAAAUUGUGCCAGAAAAGUUUGAAGUAGCUAUGGGAAUGAUCAACAUUGAACUUGCUGAGGCUCUCUUCCUGAAAGUGACUUGACCAGAUAUUUGGCUACCCAGUAUGAGCUUUUUACCAUAUCCAUAGUAUCUUGCUGCUAAAUGAAAGAAUUAGUGUGGAGGAGCAGAGAAAAGGGCACCUCAACAUGUUCAAGGUCAAGCAGAAAUUAGGAGCUAGGUGUGCUUCUCCAGAGCUGAAAACUUCUUGGCAUGAAGAGAAGAAGAAGCAAGAAAAAGCAGUUUUAAAUAUUGAUUACGUCUUCAUAGUACAAAAAAUGAUUCUAAAGAUAAUACUAUCUAUGAAAUUAGAAAGCUGAAGUUGCGUUCUGAUGAAUGUGAGAAUGUCUUCAAAGAACAGGACACCAAAAGUGCCAUUCUCAAAUCAAAGCACUCUAAAAGGCAGAGCAUAAGAAGAACUAGGACAAAUAAAGAAUCUAAAAGAGUCAAACCUAUGGAUGUAUUAAUUGAACAGAGAUGGGCUAUUAGAGAUGAAAUAUCUGAGUUGCUACUGUUUUGCACAAAUUCAAUGUUAGAUAAGAAAAAUAUACCUAGUGUUGUAUUUUUGACAGUGAAAGUUUUUUCUUAUGCUUGAUUACAGAUUAAAACUGUUAUGUAUUUUAUUGUUUAAACAUUUAUUGGUCUUCAAUCACAUACAUUUUAAUCUUGAUUUAUAUAUCACAUAUAUGUACAAGUCUAACUUAAAUAAUAAGUGCAUGGACAUUAUUGUGGAAAAAAUAAGACAAUCAUGAUCAAGGGUGGUCUAAAAGAGCUUUGCUGGCAGUAAGUUGCAGAUCUUGAUACCCAAGCAAGAGAAAGGUGGUGUCUCUGACCGAUCCUUUUGCUGUUGCUUGUGGGCGAGUGAGGCUUC
Saccostrea cuccullata (small rock oyster) is the source of this 1314-nucleotide long non-coding RNA. RefSeq lists it as uncharacterized. Lineage: Eukaryota; Metazoa; Mollusca; Bivalvia; Ostreida; Ostreidae. The record is from RefSeq and is a predicted model, not a curated record. The transcript is spliced from 4 exons.